Long non-coding RNA from Argentina anserina (silverweed cinquefoil), 587 nucleotides. RefSeq lists it as uncharacterized. The record is from RefSeq and is a predicted model, not a curated record. Lineage: Eukaryota; Viridiplantae; Streptophyta; Magnoliopsida; Rosales; Rosaceae. The transcript has 3 exons.
AUGUUUUUGGAAUCCUGAAAACGAACAAAAACAUGAAGAUUAUGUGUUUUUUUUUUUUGGAAAGGGUCAUGAAGAUUAUGUCUAACAUGAAGAUGAUUGUGUUAGAACGAGAAGUUAUCCUAAAAACGACGUCGUAGUAGCGCUCCGGUCGCGCGAGAAGGCGCCAAAUGACGCCACGUAGCGGGUUCGGAUCGUGUUCUUGAUCCAACCCGAAUACUUAGGGAAUCCAAUAAAGCAGACUCCAAAUCAGAUUAGGGUUUUUGCUAAGAAAUUGAGCUCCAGAUUUUGUCAUCUUCAUCAAGUCCGAUGACGCCGCCACCGGGUCCUUACUCCGGCAAGAGCACUCUUGCUCUGGUUGCUCGUGUUUCGGCAUUGACUUUCGGUGUGGUUUACGGAAGCGUCAAGCAUAAAAUUCUCAAGUCGAAGGCCAAGUCUCUUGCCAAAGCUCAAGCAAAGGCUCAUCAUUGACGCGCUAAAGUGGCAAUGCCUGUGCUUGGAUCGUUAAUAUUCUUGCUGGAAGAACAUCUACAGUCCUGUUUUAGUUGAUAUUUAUUUGACUGAUUCAACCUUUUGUGAGCUUUAAAGUU